Long non-coding RNA from Coregonus clupeaformis (lake whitefish), 404 nucleotides. RefSeq lists it as uncharacterized. The record is from RefSeq and is a predicted model, not a curated record. The transcript is spliced from 3 exons. Lineage: Eukaryota; Metazoa; Chordata; Actinopteri; Salmoniformes; Salmonidae.
UAGUUACAUGUUUGAUUAACUUUUCCCUUUUACUGAUGGAGUCAUUGGUCAUCACGACUCAACAGAGAGAGACCAGCUACAGACCAGUUACAACAACCUGACUAAAGAGAGAGACCAGCUACAGACCAGUUACAACAACCUGACUAAAGAGAGAGACCAGCUACAGAACAGGAUUAUGUUCUAUGAGAAACCUUGUCUAGCUGGAUGGUGGAAGUUUGGCACCAGCUGUUAUUAUCUCUCCUCCACGAUGAACACAUCUGGGGGCGGUCAGCGGCAGUGAAGAACAAUGGGUGGAGAGUUGGUUGUUAUAACCAGCAGAGAAGAACAGAUAUUUAUCAAUGGAUUUAAGAAGAAUGUCUGGAUUGGUGCAUUUAAAAAAGACGGAACUUGGCAGUGGGUUGACA